AUGCGACAAUAUCUCAUGCUGCUUUUCAUUAUGCUGCUACCUCAGCUGUCUCGCUCUUUACAAAUCCCAUGCCAAGCUCAGUUGGAACAAGGGGUCCAGUAUCGUAAAAUAUUUUGGUAUAAGGUAACAGAGUCUAACUCUGUUGUAGGUCUCAUCAUGAAAGAUCUCUGGAAAAACACCACAGCUCUUUACAAACAUGCUAAUCACGCGUAUCAAAUUGGGGACGAUUUGUCUUUGCUGCUUCUGUCCGAGCCUAGAGAGAAGAGGGAGACGAAAUGUGAAACUUACCGCUGCUCUGUAUGGCCACCUGUAGGUUAUUACAUUCAGGAGAGUGAUUAUAGCCUCCCACAAGGUUGCCAAAACAGUGCUGAGAUGAUGCCAGAAUUUGCCAGUCAUGCAAUGGACAUGAAGAUGACCUCUGUGUCAUAUACUCAUAUUUUAAUUCCAGUUGGAGUUCUGUUUGUGGUGUUUCUAUUGUGUUGUUUUGCACUGCUGUACAAACAGAGAGAAAAAUACACCAAGGUUCCCAUGUGAACAGCACACAUACCUGAGCAGUGGGUCCUCAAGCCUGUUUUUGGAGCCCUGAUGAUUUAGCCUGCUGUCACACUUUAUUUUCAAAGUCCUAUGUAGAUUAUCUGAUGACUCUCAACAGUGUAAGGGUUAGGUUCAGGUUUCAGAUUAUUCAAAAAACAAUAACAUUGAAAGAGGUUUCAACAUUUAAUUUGUACUAUCUUCAAUAAAAUAUAAGGUUUAAAUGAUUUGCAUACUUUUUUGGAAAUGGGGUUGUAUAUACAUGUGUGUAUGUGCACUCAUUGUCUAUUUUAUUAGCUGUUCAAGGUGAAAAUAAGUUAAUAUUUCUAUUUAUUUGCUGACAUAUUUUAAACAUAUUUUCCCCAAAUAAACAGUAAUUGUGCAUUAAAAUGUAAUGCACCGAAGUGUGUUCUCUGUAGAAAAUGUGUGCUUAUUUUAACUUUAAAAAAAUAAUAAUUUAACCAGGGGUGUCCUAGGGCUAAACCUUUGCAUAUGACUUUGCAUUUUCCAUAUACAAGAAAUUAUCAAUACCACCUUUAUUAGAGAAAUAAAAAUACAUUUUUUUCUUUUCAAAAACACAUUAUUUCUAAAAUCAUCACAAAUAAAUGUACAUCAUUUUGGAAUUAAACUCAUUUGUAUUCAUUCUAAUGAUACUACAUAUAAGAGCUUGUACUAAUAAAUGCUUACUGCCUAGUUAAAUAGCAUGUUAAAUCUCAGUUUGUGUUGGGACAAGUGGCCUGGAUUUGGUGUUGUUUUGGUUAUUGAUCAUAAUCUGAUACAUAAUGCAUACUGUUGCACCAGUGUGGUCAUAGGACGAAACUUACAAAGAAGGAAGUUAUUUAAGCGUUUGUACUCCUUGCUGUCGGUUAUACAGUCUGACUUUUGUUGUGGGUUGUUGGCAGGAACAGCGAUUUACAGCAGUGCUUUUCAUUAUAAGUUUAGGAAACUUAUCAGUGCUGUAGGGUAAGUGUUUUUUUUUUUUUUGCUCACCUACCUGAAAGAGGUCAUCUUUACUCUCUCUCUCUCUCUCUCUCUCUCUCUCUCUCUCUCUCUCUAUCUAUCUAUCUAUCUAUGUAUUCAUGUAUUCAUCUAUCUGUUAAAGCAGGGGAAUUUGGACUUCCAGUAUAGAGACUGAAGAACUUCUAGGUUUAAAGCAUUUCAACAGAUGUGUCCUCUUGUGUGAACUUGAUGUGUCUACCUGGUGCAUUUUGCCACUAGAGGGGCCUGUUGGGGGGGCCAUGGGAGUAAAUUUUAAAAUAAGGGAGGUCCUACAGUACAUAUUGGCUUUUAGUAAAACAUCCCACUCAUAUAAUUUAACACCACCGAAUUGCCUAUGGGUGCUAACAUGACAGUGAAUAUAUGAACAAAAUGCAGUUUCCUUCUAAUCUACCCUUUUCUUUUGCUAUCACAGAGAAAGGUCACCUCGGGACAUCUC
Molecule: long non-coding RNA, 1966 nt
Organism: Pygocentrus nattereri (red-bellied piranha)
Lineage: Eukaryota; Metazoa; Chordata; Actinopteri; Characiformes; Serrasalmidae
Source: Ensembl